AUUGAACGCUGGCGGCAGGCUUAACACAUGCAAGUCGAACGAGUGGCGGACGGGCGAGUAAUGCUUGGCAAUCUGGCUUACGGAGGGGGAUAACUACGGGCAACCGUAGCUAAUACCGCGUCCCAUAGGAUGAGCCCAAGUGGGAUUAGGUAGUUGGUGAGGGAAAGGCUCACCAAGCCGACGAUCUCUAGCUGGUCUGAGAGGAUGACCAGCCACACUGGGACGGAACCCCGUCCCAGACGCCGGCGGGAGGCAGCAGUGGGGAAGAUUGAGCGAUUGGGGAAACCGGACGAAGCCAUGCCGCGGGAAGGAAGAAGGCCUUCGGGUUGUAAAGUUCGGUCGGUAGCGAGGCGUUAAAUACAGAAGAAGCACAGGCGAACUCCGUGCCAGCAGCCGCGGUAAUUC
This 405-nucleotide ribosomal RNA is filed under the name uncultured bacterium. Its description in RNAcentral is "partial 16S ribosomal RNA". It matches the Rfam family "Bacterial small subunit ribosomal RNA", at positions 29 to 526 of the family's 1533-position model. The record is from RNAcentral.